RNAcentral lists this long non-coding RNA (261 nucleotides) under Gossypium raimondii (Peruvian cotton). Its description in RNAcentral is "long non-coding RNA (GRAI_LNC003643)". The record is from RNAcentral. Lineage: Eukaryota; Viridiplantae; Streptophyta; Magnoliopsida; Malvales; Malvaceae.
AAGAAAGGGAAGGAGAAGAAAAGAAGAGAAGAAGAAGAAGGAGAAAGAGAGGGUGGGAAGGGAAGGGAAGGGAAAAAGAAAGAAAAAAAGAAAAGGAAAAAAAUAGAAAAGAAAAGAUAAUUUUUUAUUAUAAAUUAAUGGAUUAAUGUUAAUUUAAUUUGUUUUUGUUGUUAUUAUUGUUGAUUUAAUUCAGAUUUAAUUUUUAAAUUUAUUUUUGUAAGGUAUUAUUUGGUUAAAAAAAGCUAUUAAGGUAUGUUUGUA